AUAGCGUAUAUUAAAGUUGCUGCAGUUAAAAAGCUCGUAGUUGAAUUUCGGGACUAAUAUGUCGGUCGUGCCUCGGUACGUACUGGUUUAUUGGUUUCUCCUUUCUGAAGAACCAUGAUGUCAUUUAUUUGGUGUCGUGGGGAAUCAGGACUGUUACUUUGAAAAAAUUAGAGUGUUUAAAGCAGGCUCACGCUUGAAUACAUUAGCAUGGAAUAAUGAAAUAGGACGUUUGAUUCUAUUUUGUUGGUUUCUAGGAUCGACGUAAUGAUUAAUAGGGAUAGUUGGGGGCAUUAGUAUUUAAUUGUCAGAGGUGAAAUUCUUGGAUUUAUUAAAGACUAACUUCUG
This 345-nucleotide ribosomal RNA is filed under the name uncultured eukaryote. Its description in RNAcentral is "SSU rRNA". It matches the Rfam family "Eukaryotic small subunit ribosomal RNA", at positions 594 to 945 of the family's 1831-position model. The record is from RNAcentral.